AAAAUUUGUUAACGCAAUAUCUAAAACAAAUUCUAGAAAGGAGUUGUAACAGAAUUAUUCUACUUAACUGUAUAAUUGUCAGCUGUUUUGAUAAAUAGAUUGUAUUAGCACGAUUUUUAUUGCUUACCAGGAAUAGCUAGGUGACAGUUUUGUUCAUUUGUCGUCGGUCUCCAGUCGAAUGUCGUCGUUAAUAGUUAUCAAAGGUACCAAGAUUAUAAUUUAGUACGCCAGACGGUGUUGAAUUUUACAAAAAAAUAGUCUCCUCUGAAAAUACUGUAUUAGACUUGACCACAGUUUUCCUGGGAUUCCUUGUUUACAUAUUUGUUCAUUGGUAUCUCCUGGCAACCAUCAUGGCCACCAAUGUGAAAACAGAACAAAGGGAUAGAAUCCAAAAAAUGUCUGCUAUCACGUUAACAGGUAAAACUAUAAUAACAAACAUACAUACCAGACUCCAAGGAAAAUUCAUAUCGGAAAGUCCUAACAAAUUGCAAAAUCAUAAGCUCAAACACAUUUAAAGAAUAAAAACAUUGCAUACUCCAAACUGACUUGAUACAAGACUGUCGUUAUGUAGAAAAUGGUGGAUCAAACCUGGGAUUAUAGCUAGCUAAACAUCUCACGUGUAUGACAGUAGCCAAAAAUUCAAUUAUAUAUUAACAACAAUGUGUGAGCAAAACAAACAGACAUAAAAUGUAAAAAAAUCAAAAGUUGGGGUACAGCAGUCAAGAAUGUGUUAUUAUCUUAACCACUACAAAAACAACAAACUAUGCCAAUAAAGAAAGCAAAAUUGAAUGUAGAUACUAUAUAGACAAAAAACAUAAACAAAAAUAAAAAAGACAAGAAUACAAAAUAUAACCAUACCACAAAAGAGGUUAGGAAACAACAACUGCAUGGACUCCAACAAGGAGUCGGCUGAUGAUUACAGUCAUCUUGACUAAUUUGUAGACCUUAUUUUCUGUAUAUUUCUGUAUCUGGUUAUUUACAGUUUUAUCUAUUCAAGUUCGACAAGAAUUGUUGAAAAAAGUCAUCCAAUAGCACAAACUCCUUUAAGGCUUCCACUAACAUUUUCAGCCAUGUCAACUCUUUUUUAUUUCUAGUUCUUCUGAGCUAUUUUGCUAGUUUCUCUCUCAUUCUACGGUUGUUUUCUGUAUAAAAGCCAAAUAAGCGGUAAAAUGGUUAUUCAACUGAAUAACUACUGUAUGGAGGCAACUGAGUAGACUUGUUUCUGUAGAAUAUUUUUGCUAUUAACUCAUUAUCUACUACAAUUUCAUAUAAAAAUACACAUUUUUUUUAUUUUGUGCGAGCGCUCAACCACCAACUCAACCAUGAAAAGUGAUAUCACAGCACAACAUAAUAAAACUGCAAAAUCAGCUGAAAAAAGGCCUUACUCAUCAAAUCGACAACCAAAGACAUGAUUCUAAAAAACGUUUAUUUUGGUCCUUAUAUUACCAUAAUUAUCCUUAUUUAUCAAAAAUUACACUAAGC
This 1482-nucleotide long non-coding RNA is filed under the name Mytilus galloprovincialis (Mediterranean mussel). Lineage: Eukaryota; Metazoa; Mollusca; Bivalvia; Mytilida; Mytilidae. The record is from RNAcentral.